Molecule: transfer RNA, 236 nt
Filed under: Bipolaris maydis ATCC 48331
Lineage: Eukaryota; Fungi; Ascomycota; Dothideomycetes; Pleosporales; Pleosporaceae
Also listed under: 1 other name
Description: tRNA-Und (NNN) (tRNA-Und-NNN-2-1)
Source: RNAcentral
GUCAGAUUGGCCGAGUGGUUUAAGGCGUGCACAACCAACCGCUUCACGGCUCUCUUGCUAUGCGACACCUGCUAUCAGGUCCGGCACCUCCUAGGAGGGAGAGGGUACUGCAGGCCCUCGUUUGCCUGGGGUGCGCGCGGGUGUAGGGUUAUGGUAACCCCCUACAUCAGUGGCAAAAGAGGCGACGGUGAGUCGCAUGGGCUCUGCCCGCGCGAGUUCGAAUCCCGCAUCUGACG